Molecule: non-coding RNA, 6062 nt
Organism: Anas platyrhynchos (mallard)
Lineage: Eukaryota; Metazoa; Chordata; Aves; Anseriformes; Anatidae
Source: RefSeq, a predicted model, not a curated record
CUGGCAGAUCUCUCUGUGAACGCAGCAUAAGAAAUCCACAUAAGAAGCUCCUCCAUAAAUAUUCUUGUCUUCUACCAGGAACUGUCGGAAAAGGAUCUCUGGCUGUUCCCGCUGUUUCACUAUCAUCAGCUGAAAAGAGCUUCUGUGCUGAUGUGUGCAAAGGAUGGCACAUUGAAAAGCCCCUGUAUGAGCUCUGGGGGUGUGCUGACCCCCAGCCACAGGAACAUGCUCAGACCAUUGGCCAGAAUGAAGGCACCUCCUUCUGAGAGACGUUCCUCAGAGCAGCGGACAGCAGCUGGGACAGCGUCACUCUUCAGAUCUAGGCUGUGCUGUGGGACAAAAGUCAGAGUUGCAAACCUGGUGAUUUUAAGCGUAAGAAGAAAAAUAAAAACUUUUGUUGUGAACUAGCAUAUGAUUUCAGCAGGAAGAAAACCAGCUGUCUCAUCUGUCUGGUAUGAGCAUGGUAAUCAGCUUCCUCACUGGCACUGCCAUUUGUCCCAGAACAGCCUCCAUAUGCUGCAAUUGCUACCAUUGAAUCAAACCUGCCAUUAAUUAGACUUGGAAGAAGAUGCAAAAAGGAGAAGUAUGUCCUGAAGUUUCCCUUUCUGGCACUGCUGACAUUGCAGGGGUGGUUGUUCCUCUGCUGCAAUCGCCUAGCUUAGGCAGGGGCAUCCUCACCUGGCUUACUGCUGAUGGGCUGGCACAGUUCUUGCGGUAACACGCCAGCAUGUGAGCUGUCUGAUUGACCAGGAUCUCUCUGACUGUCUUCAGGGGUUGGCUUAGAAUAGCUUUAAAAGCUACAAAUACAGAAGAACAAAAGAGUAUGUUAAUAACAGACACGCUUUUAGAGUAUCUACAUUUUGCUAGGUUUUAAUUAGUUUUUAAUAUAGUAAAACUUACCUCUAUGAGUGCCUUUUCAAUCUUCCCUGUAUCAUUUUAGAGGAUGCUUAUUAAUCUUCACAAAGAAAGGCCUAUACACUUUCGUGCAUUACCUGUUUCUAGCUACCUUCCCCAGAAUUAUUUUUAUGGCAUGUAUAUCUGAAUACAUAAUGUACUUCUCUUUUCUACUUUGUAACAGAGUUGCAAGUUGCUGAGGCUUGGAAUAGCAAGUUACAAAACACAAUUUCCCACUAGGCAAUCACUUCAUCUCUCCUACCUUCCUCUUCUUCCACCCCUAGAGAAAGCAAGAACGAAACAAAACUGAUCUGCUAUAACUUUACCUGACUUAGCAAAGAAGUUGAUCAGCGCGUCAGUCUCGCAAGUCUUGUAGACAUCAGCUAACUGGGAGCUACAGUUUAAACCAAUAUUGUGGAUGCGCAGUCUUCUUUGUCCACUUAUUGAUGUGUAAAGGACAGCACACUGCAACAGAUGAGCCAAUUACCAUUCAUUUUAAGUUUAAAACAAAAAGUCAGUCCGCAAAGUGUCCAUUGUGUAAGAGCCACCACCUUGUACAUCAAAGGCAUGUAAUUACUCCCAAGGACAGCCCAGCCUAGUAGUGCUGCUUCAGCAUUAAUUAACUAGAAAAACACCAUACCUGUACAUUUUGUGGAAGUAGAUUAGACAUGUAAAUGCAUUAUAAAAAUUAUUAGCCUUAAAAGUAUGUGUGUCAUAAAAGUAUACAAAUACAUGACUGAUUGAAAGGCUUAUUACUCUCUCAUUUGCUACAUACUGAUGGUAUCAUCUGAAAACAAUAGACCACCGAUUGAAAAUUUGUAAAGCACGUUAUCAGCAACAGCAACACAAAAACUUAGUGAUCUUGGAAAGUGAAGGGGGUCUUCUUACAUGAAUAAAUUGCUUGUGAAGUGACAUGAAGUCCUUCUAACCCCACCCCUGUAUCUCAUCCCUUCCAUUGACUUAGAUAUUAAAAUUGGAGGGAUAAUUUAUGAAUUUGCUUAUGACGCCAAUUCUGCUUUAAUGUAACAUUAGCAUUUCGGGAAACCCUUUUCCAAGUAUGAAAAGUAAAGGAACUGAGCUCAGGCUUUCCUGACUACUAACAUUUUGCUGGCACACGCUCAUUUCCUAGCACCGCAAUCAAAAAAGAAUCUCAUCAUCAUCUACAGCUACAAACUGAAGUCUGCAAGGCAAAUACCAACUGCAGUUGACUGCAGUCAGACAUGCACUGGAUCUACUGCAUGUCUCUGUCACAGGGAAGCCAGGUAAACACAACAUCUACAUGGCACGCACUCUUCCUGUCAAUGCUGCAGCACUGCUUCAGGAAGUGAUGGCAGACAUACCAAAGUGGAUGUUCCACAGUACUGUAUUUGUGCAAGGAUUAACUGCUAGCCUAGGAAGGGUUAUUUAUAGGGGCAAGAUAAAAGCUAAGCAGAGCAGAAAUGAACACUCAGAUAAUUCCAUGGCUUAAGUAAGUUCAAAACCUUGCAAGCUGUAACAUUUUCUGCUGUUAAUAAAAGAAAAAUAUCAUGACAAAAUACCUAUAACAGUAAGUGGCAAUGUUGCAUUAUCUGCUGAUGGUUGGGGCACAUCUUUUCUUAGGCACAGGCAUAUCACAAGUGUUGGCAAGUAAGCAGAGAAAUGCCAGUUUUAAUUGUUGCCUAAUCUGCAUUUCCAGGAACUACUAUUGAGGCAUGCCCUACUGCAGAAUAAGAAGGGAAGCACGGAUCUCUUGAGUUUCGGAACAGCAAGUUAUGGCAUUGCAAGUUCGCAGUCUUUGGCUUACCUUAUUAGUGGUACUAUGACAUCAGAGUCUGUGCAAGCUGUACCUUCCUCCCCUCAGUGCCUCGGCAUAACGUCUUUUUUAUUAUUAUGGCUGCAGAAGUUCUUACUCUCAAUUUCAAGACAUGCUUCCCUGGUGCUUCCGCAGUUGGCAAUGAAGAAUGGAAGAUAAACAAUUUUCCAGCACAUUCUGCAGCCUGUUGCAAAGACACCAUAUUGACAUUUAUUCUAUUACUCAGAUAAACAAGCCUAAUUUUCAUUCAUAUGCUGUGGUAUCUCUAAGAACAGUGCAAACUUUCUGCAAAAGUUCUUCAGAGCCAAACCAUUCAUUUAGUCUUUACACUUGAUGGAAGUGAAAUCCCAAAACAAACUGGGAAUUUUGUGUCAGUAAAUAACUUAGUCUAACACAGAUCCUUUGGAUGAUGCACCGGUACAGUAAUUCCUACAUGGGACACUAAAAUCUUGGUGGGCAAAACUAGAAGUACCUAGAGACAUUUAAGUUAGAUACAAGCAUUAUGCAGCAAGCAACAAGGAUAAAAGGUUAAAAAAAUACUGCUUCUUCAGUUUGGGUGCACUGUUAUCCACUGUAUUUUUAGAGAAGAACAACAAUUACAUUCCUGGACUAGAUUCCACAUUUAAACUACACUAAAAUGUAGAGCAUCAAAACUUGUGAUUAACGUUAACUCUUGUCACUAAGAAAUAAAGUAAAAGCUGGUUUUACUCAAGUUUUCAAUUGUUACCUAGAACUCUAAUGAGGCCAUAGGAUUUGCAAACUGGGACGGCAAACUGCUGACAAAAACCCUUCAAUUCCAAAGAAGGGAAUAGCAACGGUAGCCAUACCACAAGCAUCUUUGUACUGCUAACAAGCUCUUCCACCAAAAUUUACAAAAUCCAGUUUUUCGCUUGAUACUGAGACAGUUAAUAGGAAUGAAAACUGGUUAGUCUUCAGAAUUCUAAAUCCUUAAGCACUGAAGAAGUUGGGUGAAGGUGAAAGGAAGGAAGGAGGCAUUUACCCUUUUCCUGCUCCAGGCUUAACCACACAUCUAGUUUAAAAAUGUAAUACCUGAGAGUACUGACACAAAUGGGCUUUGGUACUCUUUCCCCUCCAGAUCUUAAUAUAUCCACAAGAUACUCCACAUUUCAAAAUAAGCCAUGGCAUUCUUCUGGGAAAACUAGGAAUUUGCUAACUAUGGCAGAAAUGCAAUCAAAGACAGUAUCUUGCUUUUAACAGCUGAAUCUCACCCGUAAUAGCACGGUUACCUUUAAUCAUGAAUGCCAAUUUCAGUUACUCUUAAAAAGUAGUCUCUAAAGAAUGCAAGAUUGAGUUACCACCAUACGCAUCAAGAAUUACUAACACUACUUUUGACAAUGUGUCUAAAAUGCAUAUACGAUUUCUAAAGAUUUAUGAAUCUCAAAGAAGAAUAUAUUUUAUUCUUCUCAGAUUAGUUAUUUUCUUGAACACAUGUAUACGCAUAUUAAUGAUUCCCAGGGAGCAUCCUUGCAACUUAUAACUUUAAAAUACUAGUUAAAUAAGAAGUUUAUUUGAGAAGUGUUUUUAUAGGAACAACAUCAAAAGGAAAUUUACAUUUAUGGGUGUUAAGUUUGUUUUGUAGAAGUCAAAUACUGGGAAAGAACAUUUUGAUAGAAGUGGUAACCAAAUGUAUAAAUGUUUUGCACACAUACAUUCUACUACGAGUAAGAAGAAAACAAGUAUCAGUUACAUAUUUAAGAAAUGGGAUUUGAGAGAUGCUGUACAAUUUUGGCUCAAUAUAUCUACUCAGAGUUUGAGCUCACAGAUAAAUCAAUCUGUGUCAUUCUUUUAAUUGGCAACGCUCCACAGAAAUGCCAGCAUUUCAAGGGAUAUCCCUGACAUACAGCAAAUUACUUAGAUGCAUCUAGAAGUCUGUACAAACAUCCCGAAUUAUCUAUUAGUUAUCUUAAUUAUACUGUAGUGACUAAACACCUUAUCUCUUAAAUGCUGAAUAAGAAACCAAACUGGUCUUUUCCAACUUAAGUGAUUCUAUGACUGGUUUCGCUCAAUAAGGAGAAUCUGGAAAUAGAUGUUACACUUGUCAGUUCUUUCUAAACAAAAGGAAUUCAAAGGUGCUGUUACAAUAAUGGGACAUCAGUGCUGGAAACGAUCAGUGAUUAUUAUUUAUUUAUUUAUUUUUUCUCAUUUCCCAUUAUGAUUUGUAGAAGGAUUUGGCACUGGUCUUUAGCAAGCUACAGGUUAUCAUGCCUUGUUCUAAUUAAAGAACUACUUUGACAGAGAGGAACAUUGUAACCUUUAGUGCCUCCAUGCCAGCCUGGAUAACAGGAGCAAAGAUGGUCUCACUCUCAUUAGUGUCUGCAAACAUCUCUGGAAUCUGGUCCAACAAGCUAUGAAAGAAGAAAGGUUCAGUGUCUGAACUGGUUAGCAUAUUUGGGAUAAUCCCCAAAAAUGUGACAUACCAAGUCUUCAUAGAGGAAUUUCUUUUCCAUGCAAGUUUAUACUUAAAAAUUUUGAUUUCUUAGGAUUCCAGCCGGAAUAAAAUUAAACAUGAAUUUUAGAAUUCUAUUGAAAUGCAUUAUUUCAAAGCUGGUAACAUAAAGGAACAUGCAUUAAAUCAAAAAUAGCUAAAAAUAAAGGGGUUCAGGUAUGGAUAAAGACUUAAUAGUCUUUAGAUCAUACCUAGGCAUGCAUCAUAUAUAUAGAAGGAAAACCAGGAAAAACAUUCAACAUGGCACAAAGCCACAACUUGCCCUCCCACUUCAGACAAAGCAGAACUGAAGAUGCCUGGCUCACAGCUUGUCUAAACAGGCUUUCAAAUUCAGCACUGCAAGUUGCUGCUACCACUUUUGUUUCCCCUCAAAUGUGGAAAUGCAGGACUUGGUGCAUCUGCUGAAUUGUAAAGCAUUUCAACAAAUUCAUGCAUCCUCCAAAACCCUGUAACACACCUGACUAAAAGGGAAAAUGUCUAUUCUAAGCAUUCAGCUCUUAUUCAGAUAUGGAAUUGUUGUACUUUACUUGUUAACAACAGAUCGUGAUUCCUGAAAGUCAACAAGGAAACCAUCCAGCAAAGGAACAAAAACUUCUCCGACAUCCGAGACCACCAUCAUCUGAGGCUGAGCUAAGUUGCUUUUUACAUUAAAGAAGUGGAGGACCUUGUUAUAAGUGACAAAACCAACUCGAAUUGCUGAGGAUUCUUCUUGCUCUUCUCUGUGAGAAAUACAAAAAAAAAAGUGGUUAAAAUUCUGAAACUCUGGCCUUGCAAUAAGAGCAUUACUUUGAAAUGCGGGGCUGCUUUCAGAUCAUUAUCUGUACUGGGAGCAACAAAGCAAACAACCAACCAGAUGUAAUUGCCCCAGUCUUUGCCUCCAGUCAAAUUAAAACAACUUGAUUAAAUAAA